CUCAGAGUAGUUUAGCUUAGAACUCCAGCUUUGGGAGUUGGGGGCGGGAGUUAGAGUCUCCUCUCUUUGA
RNAcentral lists this transfer RNA (70 nucleotides) under Pleuragramma antarctica (Antarctic silverfish). Its description in RNAcentral is "tRNA-Pro". It matches the Rfam family "tRNA". From Rfam's summary of the family: Transfer RNA (tRNA) molecules are approximately 80 nucleotides in length. Their secondary structure includes four short double-helical elements and three loops (D, anti-codon, and T loops). Further hydrogen bonds mediate the characteristic L-shaped molecular structure. tRNAs have two regions of fundamental functional importance: the anti-codon, which is responsible for specific mRNA codon recognition, and the 3' end, to which the tRNAs corresponding amino acid is attached (by aminoacyl-tRNA synthetases). tRNAs cope with the degeneracy of the genetic code in two manners: having more than one tRNA (with a specific anti-codon) for a particular amino acid; and 'wobble' base-pairing, i.e. permitting non-standard base-pairing at the 3rd anti-codon position. The record is from RNAcentral. Lineage: Eukaryota; Metazoa; Chordata; Actinopteri; Perciformes; Nototheniidae.